This 200-nucleotide ribosomal RNA is filed under the name uncultured bacterium. RNAcentral's name for it is "partial 16S ribosomal RNA". It matches the Rfam family "Bacterial small subunit ribosomal RNA", at positions 29 to 258 of the family's 1533-position model. The record is from RNAcentral.
AACGAACGCUGGCGGCAGGCUUAACACAUGCAAGUCGAACGCCCCGCAAGGGGAGUGGCAGACGGGUGAGUAACGCGUGGGAAUCUACCUAGUUCUACGGAACAACACAGGGAAACUUGUGCUAAUACCGUAUACGCCCUACGGGGGAAAGAUUUAUCGGAAUUAGAUGAGCCCGCGUAAGAUUAGCUAGUUGGUGAGGU